RNAcentral lists this ribosomal RNA (431 nucleotides) under uncultured bacterium. RNAcentral's name for it is "bacterial SSU rRNA". It matches the Rfam family "Bacterial small subunit ribosomal RNA", at positions 29 to 507 of the family's 1533-position model. The record is from RNAcentral.
AACGAACGCUGGCGGCAGGCUUAACACAUGCAAGUCGAGCGCCCCGCAAGGGGAGCGGCAGACGGGUGAGUAACGCGUGGGAAUCUACCGAGCCCUAAGGAAUAGCUCCGGGAAACUGGAAUUAAUACCUUAUACGCCCUUUUGGGGAAAGAUUUAUCGGGGUUUGAUGAGCCCGCGUUGGAUUAGCUAGUUGGUGGGGUAAAGGCCUACCAAGGCGACGAUCCAUAGCUGGUCUGAGAGGAUGAUCAGCCACAUUGGGACUGAGACACGGCCCAAACUCCUACGGGAGGCAGCAGUGGGGAAUAUUGGACAAUGGGCGCAAGCCUGAUCCAGCCAUGUCGCGUGAGUGAUGAAGGCCCUAGGGUUGUAAAGCUCUUUCACCGGUGAAGAUAAUGACGGUAACCGGAGAAGAAGCCCCGGCUAACUUCGUG